UACGUAGGGCGCAAGCGUUAUCCGGAAUUAUUGGGCGUAAAGAGCUCGUAGGCGGUCUGUCGCGUCUGCUGUGAAAACCUAGGGCUUAACUCUGGGCGUGCAGUGGGUACGGGCAGGCUAGAGUGCGGUAGGGGAGACUGGAAUUCCUGGUGUAGCGGUGAAAUGCGCAGAUAUCAGGAGGAACACCGGUGGCGAAGGCGGGACUCUGGGCCGAUACUGACGCUGAGGAGCGAAAGCGUGGGGAGCAAACAGG
Molecule: ribosomal RNA, 253 nt
Filed under: uncultured bacterium
Lineage: Bacteria
Description: partial 16S ribosomal RNA
Rfam family: Bacterial small subunit ribosomal RNA
Source: RNAcentral